Molecule: non-coding RNA, 46 nt
Filed under: Trichobilharzia regenti
Lineage: Eukaryota; Metazoa; Platyhelminthes; Trematoda; Strigeidida; Schistosomatidae
Source: RNAcentral
GUACUGACGAAGAGUCCCAAACUAGGACGAAACAGCCGUCCAGUAC